AUUGAACGCUGGCGGCAGGCUUAACACAUGCAAGUCGAGCGGAGAGGGGUAGCUUGCUACUGAUCUUAGCGGCGGCCGGGGGAGUAAUGCUUAGGAAUCUGCCUAUUAGUGGGGGACAACAUUUCGAAAGGAAUGCUAAUACCGCAUACGUCCUACGGGAGAAAGCAGGGGAUCUUCGGACCUUGCGCUAAUAGAUGAGCCUAAGUCGGAAUAGCUAGGUGGUGGGGUAAAGGCCUACCAAGGCGACGAUCUGUAGCGGGUCUGAGAGGAUGAUCCGCCACACUGGGACUGAGACACGGCCCAGACUCCUACGGGAGGCAGCAGUGGGGAAUAUUGGACAAUGGGCGGAAGCCUGAUCCAGCCAUGCCGCGUGUGUGAAGAAGGCCUUAUGGUUGUAAAGCACUUUAAGCGAGGAGGAGGCUACUUUAGUUAAUACCUAGAGAUAGUGGACGUUACUCGCAGAAUAAGCACCGGCUAACUCUGUGCCAGCCGCCGCAGUAA
RNAcentral lists this ribosomal RNA (501 nucleotides) under uncultured bacterium. RNAcentral describes it as "partial 16S ribosomal RNA". It matches the Rfam family "Bacterial small subunit ribosomal RNA", at positions 30 to 523 of the family's 1533-position model. The record is from RNAcentral.